RNAcentral lists this ribosomal RNA (469 nucleotides) under uncultured bacterium. Its description in RNAcentral is "bacterial SSU rRNA". It matches the Rfam family "Bacterial small subunit ribosomal RNA", at positions 8 to 525 of the family's 1533-position model. The record is from RNAcentral.
AGAGUUUGAUCCUGGCUCAGAACGAACGCUGGCGGCAUGCCUAACACAUGCAAGUCGAACGAAGGCUUCGGCCUUAGUGGCGCACGGGUGAGUAACACGUGGGAAUCUGCCUUUCGGUUCGGAAUAACGUUUGGAAACGAACGCUAACACCGGAUACGCCCUUUGGGGGAAAGUUUACGCCGAGAGAGGAGCCCGCGUCCGAUUAGGUAGUUGGUGAGGUAACGGCUCACCAAGCCGACGAUCGGUAGCUGGUCUGAGAGGAUGAUCAGCCACACUGGGACUGAGACACGGCCCAGACUCCUACGGGAGGCAGCAGUGGGGAAUAUUGGACAAUGGGCGCAAGCCUGAUCCAGCAAUGCCGCGUGAGUGAUGAAGGCCUUAGGGUUGUAAAGCUCUUUCGCACGUGACGAUNAUGACGGUAACGUGAGAAGAAGCCCCGGCUAACUUCGUGCCAGCAGCCGCGGUAAUA